GACGUAGGGCGCGAGCGUUGUCCGGAAUUAUUGGGCGUAAAGAGCUCGUAGGCGGUCUGUCGCGUCGAAUGUGAAAACCCGGGGCUCAACCCCGGGCCUGCAUUCGAUACGGGCAGACUAGAGUUCGGUAGGGGAGUCUGGAAUUCCUGGUGUAGCGGUGAAAUGCGCAGAUAUCAGGAGGAACACCGGUGGCGAAGGCGGCUCUCUGGGACGGUACUGACGCUGAGACGCGAAAGCGUGGGGAGCGAACAGG
RNAcentral lists this ribosomal RNA (253 nucleotides) under uncultured bacterium. RNAcentral describes it as "partial 16S ribosomal RNA". It matches the Rfam family "Bacterial small subunit ribosomal RNA", at positions 524 to 776 of the family's 1533-position model. The record is from RNAcentral.